This 92-nucleotide ribosomal RNA is filed under the name Piliocolobus tephrosceles (Ugandan red Colobus). The record is from RNAcentral. Lineage: Eukaryota; Metazoa; Chordata; Mammalia; Primates; Cercopithecidae.
GUCUAUGGCCAUACCACUCCGAACAUGCGCAGUCUCAUCUCGUCUUGGAAGCUAAGCAAGGUCAGGCCUGGGAAUACUGGAUGCUGUAGGCU